AAUGAACGCUGGCGGCGUGCCUAACACAUGCAAGUCGGAUGUGCCCGCAAGGGUGCAUGGCAGACGGGUGAGUAACGCGUGGGGAAUCUACCUUUUAGUGGGGAAUAACGCUCCGAAAGGAGUGGUAAUACCGCAUGUGACCAUCGGCUGGGAUGCUGAUGGUGAAACCCUGGGACCUUCGGGCCAGGGGCUAGAAGAGGAUCCUGCGUCUGAUUAGCUAGUUGGCGGGGUAACGGCCCACCAAGGCGACGAUCAGUAGCCGGCCUGAGAGGGUGAUCGGCCACACUGGAACUGAGACACGGUCCAGACUCCUACGGGAGGCAGCAGUGGGGAAUUUUGCGCAAUGGACGAAAGUCUGACGCAGCAACGCCGCGUGGGUGAUGAAGGUCUUCGGAUUGUAAAA
RNAcentral lists this ribosomal RNA (403 nucleotides) under uncultured bacterium. Its description in RNAcentral is "bacterial SSU rRNA". It matches the Rfam family "Bacterial small subunit ribosomal RNA", at positions 29 to 430 of the family's 1533-position model. The record is from RNAcentral.